GCGAAAGUAGCUCAGUGGUAGAGUAUUACCUUGCCAAGGUAAGUGUCGAGGGUUCGAAUCCCUUCUUUCGCU
This 72-nucleotide transfer RNA is filed under the name Prototheca zopfii. RNAcentral's name for it is "tRNA-Gly". It matches the Rfam family "tRNA". From Rfam's summary of the family: Transfer RNA (tRNA) molecules are approximately 80 nucleotides in length. Their secondary structure includes four short double-helical elements and three loops (D, anti-codon, and T loops). Further hydrogen bonds mediate the characteristic L-shaped molecular structure. tRNAs have two regions of fundamental functional importance: the anti-codon, which is responsible for specific mRNA codon recognition, and the 3' end, to which the tRNAs corresponding amino acid is attached (by aminoacyl-tRNA synthetases). tRNAs cope with the degeneracy of the genetic code in two manners: having more than one tRNA (with a specific anti-codon) for a particular amino acid; and 'wobble' base-pairing, i.e. permitting non-standard base-pairing at the 3rd anti-codon position. The record is from RNAcentral. Lineage: Eukaryota; Viridiplantae; Chlorophyta; Trebouxiophyceae; Chlorellales; Chlorellaceae.